UACGGAAGGCAGCAGUGGGGAAUAUUGCACAAUGGGCGCAAGCCUGAUGCAGCCAUGCCGCGUGUAUGAAGAAGGCCUUCGGGUUGUAAAGUACUUUCAGUCGUGAAGGAAGGUGUUAAGGUUAAUAACCUUAGCAAUUGACGUUAGCGACAGAAGAAGCACCGGCUAACUCCGUGCCAGCAGCCGCGGUAAUACGGAGGGUGCGAGCGUUAAUCGGAAUUACUGGGCGUAAAGGGCACGCAGGCGGUUAAUUAAGUUGGAUGUGAAAUCCCCGGGCUUAACCUGGGAAUGGCAUUCAAGACUGGUUAGCUAGAGUCUUGUAGAGGGGGUAGAAUUCCAUGUGUAGCGGUGAAAUGCGUAGAGAUGUGGAGGAAUACCGGUGGCGAAAGGCGGCCCCCUGGACAAAGGACUGACGCUCAUGUGCGAAAGCGUGGGGA
RNAcentral lists this ribosomal RNA (437 nucleotides) under uncultured bacterium. Its description in RNAcentral is "bacterial SSU rRNA". It matches the Rfam family "Bacterial small subunit ribosomal RNA", at positions 340 to 767 of the family's 1533-position model. The record is from RNAcentral.